CAGCCGCCGCGGUAAUACGAAGGGGGCUAGCGUUGCUCGGAAUGACUGGGCGUAAAGGGCGCGUAGGCGGCGAUCAAAGUCAGGCGUGAAAUUCCUGGGCUCAACCUGGGGGCUGCGCUUGAUACUUGGUUGCUUGAGUGGGGAAGUGGGUCGUGGAAUUCCCAGUGUAGAGGUGAAGUUCGUAGAUAUUGGGAAGAACACCGGUGGCGAAGGCGGCGACCUGGUCCUUUACUGACGCUGAGGCGCGAAAGCGUGGGGAGCAAACAGGAUUAGAUACCCCCGUAGUCCCUGUCUCUUAUAC
Molecule: ribosomal RNA, 301 nt
Filed under: uncultured bacterium
Lineage: Bacteria
Description: partial 16S ribosomal RNA
Rfam family: Bacterial small subunit ribosomal RNA
Source: RNAcentral